Molecule: long non-coding RNA, 326 nt
Filed under: Rhinopithecus bieti (black snub-nosed monkey)
Lineage: Eukaryota; Metazoa; Chordata; Mammalia; Primates; Cercopithecidae
Description: lncRNA (ENSRBIG00000046473.1)
Source: RNAcentral
GUUCAAUUCCUAGGAUGCUGUGAGAAUUAAAUUACAUAGUAGCUGCAAAAUAAUUUGGCUUUCUUGGAGUUGGACGCUGCCUGAACCUGAGUAAAAUGACUGUGCACUUCUUAAUGGCUUCCAUCUCUGGCCAAGCUGCCUUGGGACUAGAACAAAUCAUCUAAGUACUAGUUUCCAGCCUAAAAUAGCAUGAGGACAAGGCCAGGAGGCCACAGCAAGACUGUAAUCAGAACCCACAAGGAUUGCGUGGAGAUGCUGCAGUGCCGCCACCACCCAACAGCCGGAGCCCCCAGCACAGGUGGAUGACAGUGCUGUACCUGACUCUC